UACGUAGGGUGCAAGCGUUAAUCGGAAUUACUGGGCGUAAAGCGUGCGCAGGCGGCUUUGCAAGACAGAUGUGAAAUCCCCGGGCUUAACCUGGGAACUGCAUUUGUGACUGCAUGGCUGGAGUGCGGCAGAGGGGGAUGGAAUUCCGCGUGUAGCGGUGAAAUGCGUAGAUAUCUGGAGGAACACCGGUGGCGAAGGCGGCAUCCUGGACCAACACUGACGCUGAUGAGCGAAAGCCAGGGGAGCAAACGGG
Molecule: ribosomal RNA, 253 nt
Filed under: uncultured bacterium
Lineage: Bacteria
Description: partial 16S ribosomal RNA
Rfam family: Bacterial small subunit ribosomal RNA
Source: RNAcentral